Molecule: ribosomal RNA, 466 nt
Filed under: uncultured bacterium
Lineage: Bacteria
Description: partial 16S ribosomal RNA
Rfam family: Bacterial small subunit ribosomal RNA
Source: RNAcentral
GAUGAACGCUGGCGGCGUGCUUAACACAUGCAAGUCGAACGAUGAAGCCCAGCUUGCUGGGUGGAUUAGUGGCGAACGGGUGAGUAACACGUGAGUAACCUGCCCUUAACUCUGGGAUAAGCCUGGGAAACUGGGUCUAAUACCGGAUAGGAGCGUCCACCGCAUGGUGGGUGUUGGAAAGAUUUAUCGGUUUUGGAUGGACUCGCGGCCUAUCAGCUUGUUGGUGAGGUAAUGGCUCACCAAGGCGACGACGGGUAGCCGGCCUGAGAGGGUGACCGGCCACACUGGGACUUGGAAACGGCCCAGAAUCCUACGGGAGGCAGCAGUGGGGAAUAUUGCACAAUGGGCGCAAGCCUGAUGCAGCGACGCCGCGUGGGGGAUGACGGCCUUCGGGUUGUAAACCUCUUUCAGUAGGGAAGAAGCGAAAGUGACGGUACCUGCAGAAGAAGCACCGGCUAACUACGUG